This 468-nucleotide ribosomal RNA is filed under the name uncultured bacterium. RNAcentral's name for it is "partial 16S ribosomal RNA". It matches the Rfam family "Bacterial small subunit ribosomal RNA", at positions 28 to 507 of the family's 1533-position model. The record is from RNAcentral.
GACGAACGCUGGCGGCGUGCUUAACACAUGCCAGUCGAACGGAAAGGCCCUGCUUUUGUGGGGUGCUCGAGUGGCGAACGGGUGAGUAACACGUGAGUAACCUGCCCUUGACUUUGGGAUAACUUCAGGAAACUGGGGCUAAUACCGGAUAGGAGCUCCUGCUGCAUGGUGGGGGUUGGAAAGUUUCGGCGGUUGGGGAUGGACUCGCGGCUUAUCAGCUUGUUGGUGGGGUAGUGGCUUACCAAGGCUUUGACGGGUAGCCGGCCUGAGAGGGUGACCGGCCACAAUGGGACUGAGAGACGGCCCAGACUCCUACGGGAGGCAGCAGUGGGGAAUAUUGCACAAUGGGCGGAAGCCUGAUGCAGCAACGCCGCGUGCGGGAUGACGGCCUUCGGGUUGUAAACCGCUUUCGCCUGUGACGAAGCGUGAGUGACGGUAAUGGGUAAAGAAGCACCGGCUAACUACGUG